UUUCACUCUAAACUCUGCGUACCUCUUUCUCUCUGUGUCGUCCAUUGAAGCGGGUUUCUGAGCUUUCUGUCUCUAUGGAAGCAGCUUCUCAGAAUCUCAGCCUAAUCGAGUGCUGAGCUGAAAUUGGUUGAGAGACUAUUCGAGCCUGAGCCGAGCUUAGCUUGGGAUUUUGAGGCGACGCGAGUCUUGAUGAGCUUUGAAUUCUAGCCGCGCCUGCCUAUACUUUAACACCCCAGGAUUGAUUGAACACCUCUUAAAAAGUUUGAUUUUAGGGUUCCAGAAGAAGGAUGGACCUGUACAUAUUUUUCCAUGAGAUUGUUUUGGAGGGAAGCAUUGAUACGCUAUAUAAAGUAAAGCUGCCAUCUUUUGACAAAAUAAACACAGAGAAAUCAACUGAGCUUUUAACUCCAAUGUUGGUGUUACCUAAAGACAAGUACCCAUUCUCUAUGGGAUGUGUACAUUUCAAUUCCAAAGUCUAUUUUUUCGGGGGCUUGUCUCGCCACCCCUUCGAAAUUGAAGAUAACAGUGCGAAUGUUGGACGCGAUUUCACAGCUGAUGUUUAUCCUUGUGACGCUUAUGUUUUGGACCUUACUGAUAAUGAUCUUGUGCUGAAUAGAGUUCCGAAGACUGGGAAACCAAGUACUUUCGGGUUUGUGGCAGGUGGGAUGAUCUGUCAUCGGGGGAAAAGUUAUGAGGUCCUGUAGAUUUUCAGACAGCAAGAUUAAAUGCUUUGAGCGGUACAAUCCUGUUUCUAUGACAUGGCAAGUUCUAGACGACAUCCCCCUCCGAGGUCUAUGUCAAUGCUUUGGAGCUUCUGUUGUUGAAAACCAGCACAAGGUCUUAAUUAGUGGGUGGAAAGAUGCAGACAUAGUUUUUCUUGUAUACGACUUCCUCCAUGGUACUUGGGACUCUGAAAACCUUUUGAUCUCUUGUAAUUACGGUCGUAAAACUUAUACUAUUAGCCACAUUAGUGUUUCUGAUUUUAAUGGACAAGGACAUUAUUUGUAUGGCCUACGGUCUUGUGAAACCGGCGCUCUGCCCAUUAAGUUGGGACCUCUGAAAGAGUUAAAGGUUAAACAGAUGCGCAAGCUUUCAAAAGUUGAUGUGUCCACACAUGACGGUCGGAAUAUUCGAGGUGUUUUCCGUCAGAUUGGGCGUUUUACCCUCAAUGAGAUGUUGUACUUUGGUGAUGGGCAUUUCUGUUAUGUGGGUAUUGCACAACAUGAACCUGGUGAUUUUGGUGAUGAUUUUAGCGGCCCUUUUUCCACAAAUCCGCGGCAUGUAUCUUACCAUUUUUAAGGAUCUUUCUAAUCCAGUUGCAUUUCAACAAGGCUCCUCUUUUGAAGCUAAAAUUUUGUCUGUCAAGAAUUAUGUCAUGAACACAAAUUAUUAUGGUGGUGUCAAUAUUGGAAGCUGCUUUGUCGCUGGCCAUGAUUGAGAGGAGUUUAUUGAAGGUGAUUUCUAGUUAGUAAGUGGCAUAUCAAUUCGUUUAUUCAAGGUACGUAUGAGUUACGAAACCUUGCCUUCAUAAGCAUGUUUAGGAACAAAACGAGAACUUAGUAUCAUGUAUAGAGAAGACUGAGAAUAAUUGUUUGGUUAUACAUUGUGAUUUCCGUAUGAUGUGCACUAUUUUACUUUGCAAAUAUUAUUUAUGCAUUAACUUUGCAAGAUGCGCUUAGAGACAAAGGUAGUAAUGGAAGAAUUCAAGUCUUAUAAGACGAGGUUAAGGUUUUGGGGUGCCUUAUGC
Chenopodium quinoa (quinoa) is the source of this 1747-nucleotide long non-coding RNA. RefSeq lists it as uncharacterized. The transcript has 4 exons. NCBI's taxonomy places the organism in Eukaryota, Viridiplantae, Streptophyta, Magnoliopsida, Caryophyllales, Amaranthaceae. The record is from RefSeq and is a predicted model, not a curated record.